AAUAGAUACCCGGGUAGUCCACGCCGUAAACGAUGGAUGCUAGCUAUUGGGAGGUAUCGACCCCUUCCGAAGCGAAGCUAACGCGUUAAGCAUCCCGCCUGAGUAGUACGAGCGCAAGCUUAAAACUCAAAGGAAUUGACGGGGACCCGCACAAGCGGUGGAGCGUGUGGUUUAAUUCGAUGAUAAACGAUGAACCUUACCAGGACUUGACAUCCCACUAAUUUCUUCGAAAGGAGAAAGUGUCUUCGGACCGUGGUGACAGGUGUUGCAUGGCCGUCGUCAGCUCGUGUCGUGAGAUGUUGGGUUAAGUCCCGCAACGAGCGCAACCCUUAUGUUUAGUUGGAUUUUUCUAAACAGACUGCCCUGGUAACAGGGAGGAAGGAGGGGAUGAUGUCAGGUCAGUAUUACCCGUUACGUCCUGGGGCGACACACGCGCUACAAUGGCCGGUACAAUGGGCAGCCAAGCAGCAAUGCGGAGCAAAUCCCAUCAAAGCCGGUCUCAGUUCGGAUUGGAGGCUGAAACUCGCCUCCAUGAAGCCGGAAUCG
This 546-nucleotide ribosomal RNA is filed under the name uncultured bacterium. RNAcentral describes it as "bacterial SSU rRNA". It matches the Rfam family "Bacterial small subunit ribosomal RNA", at positions 777 to 1334 of the family's 1533-position model. The record is from RNAcentral.